GCUUUAAAAGGGAGCAUGCAACUAUGGCAAAUCUAGCAGGGUGUCCUGGCCCAGCAUGCCCCUCCAAGGAAAAAGUAAGAGACUGGCCCCCAUGUCUUCCACUGCUGAUCUUAAGAUUACUAAUAAUACUAAUAACCCCUGUUGUGUAACCCAUAUCGUGCUCUGAGCCCUGUUGCGUGUUGCAAAACAGGUAUGACAACAAAAGGACUUGGCCCGCAUGACAGACUUGGAUGCUGGUUUACUGUGUCACCAGACGAGGGAGAUGAGAGAGCAGCAUGCAGAAGGCCUGACAGAUGAGCCCUGCUGGCCCGGGGGUCUUUAAGCAGAAAGACUGAGAAUACCCCAGACCAGAGUGAAACACAGAACAGAAUGUGAAAAUGUAACAGUCCUCCAAGAUGUAUUUUCCCUUCCACCCAGGCAAACAUUAUUUGAUUGAUUCAGUAAAAUAUCUUUNAAAAAAAAUUUUUUUUUUUUUUUUUUUUUUUUUUUUUGGAAAAGAGGGUCAAUAUUGUUCAGAAUGAUUGGCCUGCACAUUUCCACUUUUCAAUUCCAUCACAGAGCUCCUUGGGGGAGUCUCCAAGGAUCACAAAGCGUGAACAACGUACCUGGAGUUGACUCCUUGGAACUCAGGGUUUGCUUGCUGGUAAUGCUUUUAAUGUUGAGCAACAAAGUUCCUCUAAACUCAAGUAGAUUGGAACCUUGACAUGAUCAACAUAAGAAACUUGGCCACAAAGUGUCCUCAAGCUACUGGAGCAUAAACCUGAACCAGUAUUGUGUCGGUUGCAAUUUGCUCUUAUCUAUCCAUCAGCAUCCUCUCCAACUAAAUAUAAGUGAGUAUGAAGAGCAGUUGCAGAUAUAGACAGGCAUCAGUGUCUCUAGAAUUAUGAGAAUCACUGACCUAUGAAAUAUCAGUGUUCAAAAGUUCUGAUUUCUCCCGUGAGGUACUUUUCAUGUCUUAUUUUGCUAUCUGAAUGCAAAUGAGCCUUAGUAAACCCUUCCUCACCU
Molecule: long non-coding RNA, 1005 nt
Filed under: Sus scrofa (pig)
Lineage: Eukaryota; Metazoa; Chordata; Mammalia; Artiodactyla; Suidae
Description: lncRNA (ENSSSCG00050057727.1)
Source: RNAcentral